RNAcentral lists this non-coding RNA (144 nucleotides) under Buttiauxella agrestis ATCC 33320. Its description in RNAcentral is "Bacterial large subunit ribosomal RNA". It matches the Rfam family "Bacterial large subunit ribosomal RNA", at positions 1 to 145 of the family's 2925-position model. The record is from Rfam by way of RNAcentral. Lineage: Bacteria; Pseudomonadati; Pseudomonadota; Gammaproteobacteria; Enterobacterales; Enterobacteriaceae.
GGUUAAGCGACUAAGCGUACACGGUGGAUGCCCUGGCAGUCAGAGGCGAUGAAGGACGUGCUAAUCUGCGAUAAGCGUCGGUAAGGUGAUAUGAACCGUUAUAACCGACGAUUUCCGAAUGGGGAAACCCAGUGCAAUUCGUUG